Molecule: long non-coding RNA, 1578 nt
Organism: Brassica napus (rape)
Lineage: Eukaryota; Viridiplantae; Streptophyta; Magnoliopsida; Brassicales; Brassicaceae
Exons: 3
Source: RefSeq, a predicted model, not a curated record
CUUCUGAGCUAUGCCACAUCAGAUCAGAAAAUCAGCCACUAAAAUUGCAGUAAUCAACCAUGUCAACAACAUGUGGGUCCCACUAGAAAAAAAAAUUAUACUAAUGAGCUUCGUUACUUUACUUAAAGAUGAUACCCAAUUGGUCUAUGUUAUAAUGAAGGUCGUGUAUAUCUAAUGGGCUUCGUGAGUCAAAAUAAAAAAGUCAUCGAUUUUCUUUUGCGAUUAGAUUUUCUAUGUAAAGCCUAUAUGGUUAAGCAUCGUCGUCGAAGUGGAGAUAGGGUUUUCUUCAUAGCUUCAGACAAAUCUGGAAAACUCAGCUCACCCUUUGUCAAGUUGACAUCUGUCAUCGUGUUUUUUUUUUUUAUGUUUUAGACGAUAUGUCAAUGAGUUUGAAUUACGAUUAAUGUUUGGCCCAAACUUUAACUUACACAUAGGCCCAUAUCAGAAAACUUAAUUGAGCUUGAAGUUACGGUGGAUUCGUGGAGAGCAUGAGAUUUGCAUUAACAUCGUCCUCUCCACUUCCUGCCGGGAGUAACUGACCUCAAUUAUGCUUCCCAAUAAAUUAUCCCCACUAGGUCCUAUUGAAUGGAGAUCCUUUGGUUUCUCUGCUAAGCGUAUUUUCUGUAUAUAUAUAUAUAUAUAUAUCGUCCUCUUCCUUCAGAUGAGAUUCAUGCUUUUAGAUUCUCUAUACCACACGAUACCUAGCCAAACUGAAACUCACUGUGAUGAUGAUUUUCCAAAUCUACUUUUCCGAUCUGGAGGUGGGGCGUUGUAAGGAGACUAGCAAUCUGCAGAAGGUAGGCGAGCUAAUUGGGGUAAACAUGGUGUUACUGGACAAGAAGGCUGAUGUUGAUGGGAACAGGACAAACUGCCUAAAUCGAGCUCAUUGCUGCAACAAUGCUUGAAAGUAAUGAGAAUCAUCAUGAAGUUGGUCAGCAGGGGAAGGAUCCUGUCAACGAGUCUGAUGUGGAGUUAGCUUAUGUAAGAGUCUGAGAUGGUUCUAGGAGAUGGAAGGGGAAGAAGGAAUAAGGAAUAAUCAGGUGUGAGCUGGAGAGGCUGCACAGGUAGUUAACGGAGCACAUGGGCUGUUUGCUCAAGUGGCGAGUCUUAUAUAUAUUGACUGAGGAAUGUUGUGAGGGUUAUAAAUAGAUUUGAUCAAAGUUGAAAGGGAGGAGAGAGACUCCCAAUAUUAAUUCUCUCAAAUCAUGUAUACAGUUUUAUCAGAUCUAUACAAUCAUCAUUUCUCAGAAUAUCUCAUAACAGCCUUCCAACAUUUUGACAAAGACAGCAGCAGAACGUUUGUGUACAUUCCAAUAGACUAAUUAGAAGCUGCACUGAAGGAAUAUGGAAUGGGAGAUGAUGCAACAACCAAAGAGGUUUCCUCAUACGACGAUUCAUAUAACGUAAGCAAAAACAAUUUACCAUAUCAUCUCUGGCUGUCGUAUUUAAAGAAUGUAUUUUCCCAUUUAAGAGUUCUUCUCACGACUGAGCUUCACUGCGCAUCAUCCAUUUUUAAAGUGUUGUUGUCGUAUUAUUUACACUCAGUGAAAAAACAACACGAAUCAGUUUUGAUGUUAA